UACGUAGGGUGCGAGCGUUGUCCGGAAUUACUGGGCGUAAAGAGCUCGUAGGUGGUUUGUCACGUCGUCUGUGAAAUUCCGGGGCUUAACCUCGGGCGUGCAGGCGAUACGGGCAAUACUUGAGUGCUGUAGGGGAGACUGGAAUUCCUGGUGUAGCGGUGAAAUGCGCAGAUAUCAGGAGGAACACCAAUGGCGAAGGCGGCUCUCUGGACUGUAACUGACGCUGAGGCGCGAAAGCGUGGGUAGCAAACAGGAUUAGAUACCCCU
RNAcentral lists this ribosomal RNA (267 nucleotides) under uncultured prokaryote. RNAcentral describes it as "partial 16S ribosomal RNA". It matches the Rfam family "Bacterial small subunit ribosomal RNA", at positions 524 to 788 of the family's 1533-position model. The record is from RNAcentral.